RNAcentral lists this long non-coding RNA (211 nucleotides) under Malus domestica (apple). RNAcentral's name for it is "long non-coding RNA (MDOM_LNC002435)". The record is from RNAcentral. Lineage: Eukaryota; Viridiplantae; Streptophyta; Magnoliopsida; Rosales; Rosaceae.
AGUUAUUUCCAUCAAUUUCCCUAUCUUAAGAGUUCCAUUUGCAUCUGGAUCUGGUUAGUUUAAUGGCUAUGUUAUCAUUAAAAGCAAUCUAGGACCAAACAAAUGACUUAAAGGGAUUUGGACUCCAUUCAUUCAAACAUGCAAGACUAUGAACUAAAAGUCCUUAUUUACAAGGCAAGAAAAAUAACUUAAUGUGGACUUAACCCAUCCA